RNAcentral lists this long non-coding RNA (1744 nucleotides) under Phoenix dactylifera (date palm). RNAcentral describes it as "long non-coding RNA (PDAC_LNC009007)". Lineage: Eukaryota; Viridiplantae; Streptophyta; Magnoliopsida; Arecales; Arecaceae. The record is from RNAcentral.
GGAUGCUUGCAACAAGCAACCAGCAAAUCGCUGCUUGCUAUGCCGGAAAAAGAUUGGGUUGACUGGGUUUAAAUGCCGGUGUGGAGGCACGUUUUGCUCAGCUCACCGGUACUCUGAGACCCAUGAAUGUUCGUUUGACUACAAGAGCGCUGGUCGACAGUAUAUAGCCAAAGAAAAUCCCGUCGUGAAGGCAGAAAAGAUACGGAAAAUUUAAGUUGAUGUCUGAAAUUGAAAUUAUUAGGAUCAAAUGGAGGUCACUCCUAGUUUCUGAGGCAUAAGUUUGGUGUUAGUUCUCUGUUGUUCCCCUAGUCAAUGUCCUUUCCAGCGAAGCACUAGAAGUGAAGUCCUUUUCUUAUUUUUUUAUUGUAAUUAGUAGUGUCAAUGAAAUGCCUUGUAACCAUUCAUGUUUUGCUUAUUAAGUGCUAAAUGCCAUUUCUUUCUAAUAUGAGCUUUUCCCAAAGAGAUUUUAUUUGUGCCUGAUCCAUACUGGAUGCUUGUAAAUGACAUGAGUUGUUGAGGGAUGGCAAAGUGCUUCAUCUGAGUCUGAGAAGGUUCAUAUCACGAUCUUAAUUUACCAUACCUAUGAUUAAAAGUCAAGCCUGUAUGUUGAGUUUAGCAUUUGAAUGUGAUAAUUACUCUCUUUUAUAUCAGAAGCAGCCUGCUACAGGAACUGUUUAAUGUAUAUGUGAGCUUAUCAGUGAUUGGGGUAAUAGCUUAUCUUCCACAAGAAUGAACGUAUGCAUUACUGAUUCAGCUACUUUUUCAGUGAAAUACUUCUAUCAAGACGUAACAAGAUUAGCUUUUCAAUGACUGAUUGGUUUGGAAUUUGUGUAGCAUUACAUUGCACUUCUUACCAUCACAAAGUUCUGUAAUUUUCUAGAUGGACCAUGUUUUUGAUGCAUUUUAUUAAUCGAUUUGGAUUUAAGGCUGUUUGUAACCAAACAUCAUCCCAAAACUGAUACGCGGAAGCACCGUGAUUAAUGUUAACUGACAAUUCAACUGUUGCUUUUCAAGAUAUAAUCAGGCUUCUAGGUUCCAAUUUAAAGAGUUGUGAGUGGAUGCAGGAGUCCAGCUGGUGAGAAUGUAAAAUGUCUUUUUUUUCUUUCUUAAUGUUUAGUCUUUAUACUUAUUUUAUACCUAAAUGUACUCAUUAUUUUUAUAUUUUGAUUUAGGAUGCAAAUGGAGGCGUUAAGUGCAAAACGAAGCUAAUUGGAUGAUUUUGGACAGUCUCCACAUUGCUUUGUAAUCUGGGCAUAACUUUCUCAUCCGAGCUCUGAUUGAGAUGAUUCAAGAUGCUAUGGAAUGCUAAGAAAAAGCUCUACAACUUUCAUAUUUUGAGUUUUGAAAGAUACUAGCUCUAUCAAGGUCGAAAUCGGGCUUGAAGUUGCUGCAUGUGCACCGCUGACGUGCUGGAAAGUUCUUAGCCUGCAAUUACGGAUUUGACUCGGUCUAUUUUCGGAGGUCUCCAGAUCUGGUGCACAAAAAUCCCAGCUGAAAACACCACUUUUCCCAGUUAUAUUAGAACUUUAUUUUAUUUUUCUUAAUUAGUCAGGUUUGAAUUCAAAAUGUACGUGAAAAGGAAAAAAGAUAAGGACGCCUCUUCCAGGGGGUUUCUUCCACGACUCCUCUUUUCUCUUUUCUCCGGGAAAGCUUUCAUCCAUGGCCCUGCGUGGCUAAACUUUGAUUGGUCUAAGAAAACAGAAACCUCGGAAUCAAUGAAACUAUGAGAUCUAAUUUGUUUUCA